Molecule: ribosomal RNA, 492 nt
Filed under: uncultured bacterium
Lineage: Bacteria
Description: partial 16S ribosomal RNA
Rfam family: Bacterial small subunit ribosomal RNA
Source: RNAcentral
AGUGAACGCUGGCGGUAGGCCUAACACAUGCAAGUCGAACGGCAGCACAGUAAGAGCUUGCUCUUACGGGUGGCGAGUGGCGGACGGGUGAGGAAUACAUCGGAAUCUACUUUUUCGUGGGGGAUAACGUAGGGAAACUUACGCUAAUACCGCAUACGACCUACGGGUGAAAGCAGGGGAUCUUCGGACCUUGCGCGAUUGAAUGAGCCGAUGUCGGAUUAGCUAGUUGGCGGGGUAAAGGCCCACCAAGGCGACGAUCCGUAGCGGGUCUGAGAGGAUGAUCAGCCACACUGGAACUGAGACACGGUCCAGAGUCCUACGGGAGGCAGCAGUGGGGAAUAUUGGACAAUGGGCGCAAGCCUGAUCCAGCCAUACCGCGUGGGUGAAGAAGGCCUUCGGGUUGUAAAGCCCUUUUGUUGGGAAAGAAAAGCAGCAGGUUAAUACCCCGCUGUUCUGACGGUACCCAAAGAAUAAGCACCGGCUAACUUCGUG